RNAcentral lists this ribosomal RNA (385 nucleotides) under uncultured Microcystis sp. RNAcentral's name for it is "bacterial SSU rRNA". It matches the Rfam family "Bacterial small subunit ribosomal RNA", at positions 11 to 424 of the family's 1533-position model. The record is from RNAcentral. Lineage: Bacteria; Bacillati; Cyanobacteriota; Cyanophyceae; Chroococcales; Microcystaceae.
GUUUGAUCCUGGCUCAGGAUGAACGCUGGCGGCGUGCCUAACACAUGCAAGUCGAACGGGAAUCUUCGGAUUCUAGUGGCGGACGGGUGAGUAACGCGUAAGAAUCUAACUUCAGGACGGGGACAACAGUUGGAAACGACUGCUAAUACCCGAUGUGCCGCAAGGUGAAACCUAAUUGGCCUGAAGAAGAGCUUGCGUCUGAUUAGCUAGUUGGUGGGGUAAAGGCCUACCAAGGCGACGAUCAGUAGCUGGUCUGAGAGGAUGAGCAGCCACACUGGGACUGAGACACGGCCCGACUCCUACGGGAGGCAGCAGUGGGGAAUUUUCCGCAAUGGGCGAAAGCCUGACGGAGCAACGCCGCGUGAGGGAGGAAGGUCUUUGGAUU